CGCCUGCCGGAAUUAGCCAACCCUGCCUAGAAAAUUGAAGUCUGAGAACAAGUUAAAUUAAACAAAACUUUCAACAACGGAUCUCUUGGUUCUGGCAACGAUGAAGAACGCAGCGAAAUGCGAUAAGUAAUGUGAAUUGCAGAAUUCAGUGAAUCAUCGAAUCUUUGAACGCACAUUGCGCCCCCUGGUAUUCCGGGGGGCACACCUGUUCGAGCGCCAUUUCUACCCUAGAGCCCUGCUCUGUGAUGGGCCCCGUCCUCGCGGACAGGCCCGAAACCCGUGGGCGCCGUCGUCCGGCCCUGAGCGUAGCAAGAGAAAUCCCUCGCUCGGAGUGUCUGUCGGUGGCCGCCUCGAAACCUAUUUUUACAAGGUUGGCCUCGGAUCAGGUGGGGAUACCCGCUGAACUUAAGCAUAUCAAUAAGCGGAGGAA
RNAcentral lists this ribosomal RNA (430 nucleotides) under Venturia chinensis. Its description in RNAcentral is "eukaryotic LSU rRNA". The stretch from base 66 to 219 matches the Rfam family "5.8S ribosomal RNA". The record is from RNAcentral. Lineage: Eukaryota; Fungi; Ascomycota; Dothideomycetes; Venturiales; Venturiaceae.